This is a non-coding RNA of Danio rerio (zebrafish), 374 nucleotides long. The record is from RefSeq and is a predicted model, not a curated record. Lineage: Eukaryota; Metazoa; Chordata; Actinopteri; Cypriniformes; Danionidae.
UUCUAUGGAGCCUGCGUAGUGCACUACAGCGCGGGUGUGGGCCGCACCGGCACCUUCACGGCUCUGGACCGCCUGCUGCAGCAGCUGGACACACACGACACAGUGGACGUCUAUAGUGUAGUGUUUGAUCUGAGGCUACACCGCACACACAUGGUGCAGACCGAGUGCCAGUACGCGUUCCUCUACCAGUGUGUGCGUGAUGUGCUGCGGGCCAGAAAGCUGCGCAGUGAACAGGAGAACCUGCUGUACCCCAUCUAUGAGAACGUCCAUCCAGACACACACAGAGAUCUGCUGUACUCCAAGCGCUGAGCCGGGCGGUGUGCUCUCUGAUGUUCUGUGUGUGUGUGUGUGUGUGUGUGUGUGUGUGUGUGUGU